AGCUGGAAUUGCUAGUAAUGGCAGGUCAGCAUACUGCCGUGAAUACGUUCCCGGGCCUUGUACACACCGCCCGUCACACCAUGAGAGUUGGAAAUACCCGAAGCCUGUGAGCUAACUUAAAGAGGCAGCAGUCGAAGGUAGAGCCAAUGAUUGGGUGAAGUCGUAACAAGGUACC
Molecule: ribosomal RNA, 175 nt
Filed under: uncultured bacterium
Lineage: Bacteria
Description: partial 16S ribosomal RNA
Rfam family: Bacterial small subunit ribosomal RNA
Source: RNAcentral